RNAcentral lists this long non-coding RNA (1117 nucleotides) under Salmo salar (Atlantic salmon). RNAcentral describes it as "lncRNA (ENSSSAG00000122052.1)". The record is from RNAcentral. Lineage: Eukaryota; Metazoa; Chordata; Actinopteri; Salmoniformes; Salmonidae.
CAGACCCAGCUACUCUGAUACUGUUACUGACAGACCCAGUUACUCUGAUACUGUUACUGAUAGACCCAGCUACUCUGAUACUGUUACUGACAGACCCAGCUACUCUGAUAAUGUUACUGACAGACCCAGUUACUCUGAUACUGUUACUGACAGACCCAGCUACUCUGACACUGUUACUGACAGACCCAGCUACUCUGAUACUGUUACUGACAGACCCAGUUACUCUGAUACUGUUACUGACAGACCCAGCUACUCUGACACUGUUACUGACAGACCCAGCUACUCUGAUACUGUUACUGACAGACCCAGCUACUCUGAUACUGUUACUGGCAUAACAAUAAUCCCAACCCUUUUCCUGGAUAUAAUGUGGUGUGGAACCCCUCUAACAUCUCCUAUGAUCUACUGAUUGAGAACAUCACUGAAUCUGACCUGGGACUCUACUACUGUGGGACUGUGGAGAACAAUGUAGUGGAUGAUGGAGCCGUGUCAAUGCUGCCCCCUAGCCCUAACAGGUUAAACAGAAAGAGUUGUACCACUAUGGAAACAUCACCACUAGGAUUUCACUUGACACCAGUCCUCCUGAGUCCUCCCCUCCUCCUGUAGACUGUGGGCUGUGUUGGAUGUUGCUGUUCAGUCUGUGUCCUGUGUCUGCUCUCCUCUCUCCUCUCCUCCACCUGUGUCUACUCCUUCUGCAGAACAACAGCUGCAACUGAGACGCGGGUUCCUCUGAACAAGACCACGACCAGGGGAAGAGGAAGGAGACCUGUUUAACGCCUCGUCAGGGACAGAGGAGACCAAAGAAGAAGAAGAAGAGACCUAUACCAUCCAUCAAUACCAGCAGAGUGAGACCUAUACCAUCCAUCAAUACCAGCAGAGUGAGACCUAUACCAUCCAUCAAUACCAGCAGAGUGAGACCUAUACCACCCAUCAAUACCAGCAGAGUGUGAGACCUAUACCAUCCAUCAAUACCAGCAGAGUGAGACCUAUACCAACCAUCAAUACCAGCAGAGUGAGACCUAUACCAUCCAUCAAUACCAGCAGAGUGUGAGACCUAUACCAUCCAUCAAUACCAGCAGAGUGAGACUUAUACCAUCCAUCAAUACCAGCAGAGUGAGAC